GACGAACGCUGGCGGCGUGCUUAACACAUGCAAGUCGAACGGAAAGGCCUGCUUUCCCUUGUGGAUUGCGGGUACUCGAGUGGCGAACGGGUGAGUAACACGUGAGUGAUCUGCCCCCAACUUGGGUAUAAGCCUGGGAAACUGGGUCUAAUUCCCGAUAGGACUGCAGGGUGGUGCCUGUGGUGGAAAACGAUUUUCUAGUGGUUGGGGAUGAGCUCGCGGCCUAUCAGCUUGUUGGUGGGGUAAUGGCCUACCAAGGCGGCGACGGGUAGCCGGCCUGAGAGGGUGGACGGCCACAUUGGGACUGAGCUACGGCCCAGACUCCUACGGGAGGCAGCAGUGGGGAAUAUUGCACGAUGGGCGGAAGCCUGAUGCAGCGACGCCGCGUGGGGGAUGACGGCCUUCGGGUUGUAAACUCCUUUCGACCGCGAGGAAGCCACCUGGUUGGAAGGGUGGUGACGGUAGUGGUAGAAGAAGCACCGGCUAACUACGUG
This 494-nucleotide ribosomal RNA is filed under the name uncultured bacterium. RNAcentral describes it as "partial 16S ribosomal RNA". It matches the Rfam family "Bacterial small subunit ribosomal RNA", at positions 28 to 507 of the family's 1533-position model. The record is from RNAcentral.